RNAcentral lists this ribosomal RNA (484 nucleotides) under uncultured bacterium. RNAcentral's name for it is "partial 16S ribosomal RNA". It matches the Rfam family "Bacterial small subunit ribosomal RNA", at positions 30 to 507 of the family's 1533-position model. The record is from RNAcentral.
AUUGAACGCUGGCGGCAGGCCUAACACAUGCAAGUCGAGCGGAUGAAGGGAGCUUGCUCCUGGAUUCAGCGGCGGACGGGUGAGUAAUGCCUAGGAAUCUGCCUGGUAGUGGGGGAUAACGUCCGGAAACGGGCGCUAAUACCGCAUACGUCCUGAGGGAGCAAGUGGGGGAUCUUCGGACCUCACGCUAUCAGAUGAGCCUAGGUCGGAUUAGCUAGUUGGUGGGGUAAAGGCCCACCAAGGCGACGAUCCGUAACUGGUCUGAGAGGAUGAUCAGUCACACUGGAACUGAGACACGGUCCAGACUCCUACGGGAGGCAGCAGUGGGGAAUAUUGGACGAUGGGCGAAAGCCUGAUCCAGCCAUGCCGCGUGUGUGAAGAAGGUCUUCGGAUUGUAAAGCACUUUAAGUUGGGAGGAAGGGCAGUAAGUUAAUACCUUGCUGUUUUGACGUUACCAACAGAAUAAGCACCGGCUAACUUCGUG